GAUGAACGCUAGCGGGAGGCCUAACACAUGCAAGCCGAGCGGUAGAGUCUCUUCGGAGCCUUGAGAGCGGCGCACGGGUGCGGAACACGUGUGCAACCUGCCUUUAUCUGGGGGAUAGCCUUUCGAAAGGAAGAUUAAUACCCCAUAAUAUACUGGAUGGCAUCAUCUGGUAUUGAAAACUCCGGUGGAUAGAGAUGGGCACGCGCAAGAUUAGAUAGUUGGUGAGGUAACGGCUCACCAAGUCAGCGAUCUUUAGGGGGCCUGAGAGGGUGAUCCCCCACACUGGUACUGAGACACGGACCAGACUCCUACGGGAGGCAGCAGUGAGGAAUAUUGGACAAUGGGUGAGAGCCUGAUCCAGCCAUCCCGCGUGAAGGACGACGGCCCUAUGGGUUGUAAACUUCUUUUGUAUAGGGAUAAACCUAGAUACGUGUAUCUAGCUGAAGGUACUAUACGAAUAAGCACCGGCUAACUCCGCG
This 479-nucleotide ribosomal RNA is filed under the name uncultured bacterium. RNAcentral's name for it is "partial 16S ribosomal RNA". It matches the Rfam family "Bacterial small subunit ribosomal RNA", at positions 28 to 507 of the family's 1533-position model. The record is from RNAcentral.